GAGAGUUAAACAGUACGUGAAAUUGUUGAAAGGGAAACGAUUGAAGUCAGUCGUACCAACGGGAAAUCAAUUCAUCGAGUGUUGAAUUUGGGUCUUGAAGAGUCUUAAAACCUUUGGGUUCAGAUAUUUUCACUUUUUGAACGUAUUUUCUCGUACGGUAGGUUAACAUCGAUUUUGAACAUUAUAAAAUGAUCGGAGGAAUGUAGCUUCGAUCUUGUAUUGAAGUGUUAUAGCCUUUGGUAGAUGUAAUGAUCGAGAUCGAGGAUUGCAACGAAUACCCUUUUGGGCUAUCCGUCUGAUCUCUGAUACGUUGCCUCGGUAACGAAAGCGUGCUUACGGUAUUGAGGUAUUACGGUCAAAAGGUUAGAACGUGAUUACAUUCGUUAAGGAUGUUGACGUAAUGGCUUUAAACGA
RNAcentral lists this ribosomal RNA (414 nucleotides) under uncultured Funneliformis. Its description in RNAcentral is "partial 28S ribosomal RNA". The record is from RNAcentral. Lineage: Eukaryota; Fungi; Glomeromycota; Glomeromycetes; Glomerales; Glomeraceae.